UUCGCGAUUUAUCCGUUUUGCCACUUUGACCCCUCAGCGAAAAUCUCGUAAUUCCCAGAGAUCCGUCCGUCGAAUUUUCGAUCCGACAGUACCAUUGCGUUCAGCACGUCGGGGGCAUCAAAACUACAAUGUUGAUUCGUCCGAUUUGGUCACGGAUUUGCGACGGAACCCAUCCGCUCUCUAAUUAAUCCGUAUAUCGCACAUAUACCAAAGCAUAAACCCUAAAAUCUUUAAUUCAAAUUCAAAUUUGAAUUCCCUACCACCAGUAGGUACCAGAAACAACUCUCACCUAACCCCAGGUCACAAGCCAGAGCACGAGGAGUUUUAAAAUGCACAGAAAAGCAAAGAGCGGAAACCCUUUUUUUGGUAAAACUCCUUUUUCUCGAAAACCAUGCAUCAAAUCUGAAAUCCGUCAGUGAUAUUGGUUCCAGAAUAGCUGAACCGUUCAAAAUGAGCUAUUGGAUCGCUAUGAACGGAGUCCGAUACGCGCCGAAAGCCAACUCUAUUCCGUGGCUUCUCCGGAAAACCGGAGUUACUAUUCACUUAAGUGAAAACUAAUAAUCGCGUAACUUCUCCAUUUUAGCUCAUUUUCUCCUGAAACUUGACGAGUGCUUAUGUAAUUAAAUUACACACAUAAACAUCAUCAACAGAGAGUUUAGUUGCACUGUAAAAAUCUCAGUUCUUACAAGUAACCAAAUAUAAUUA
RNAcentral lists this long non-coding RNA (705 nucleotides) under Ananas comosus (pineapple). RNAcentral's name for it is "long non-coding RNA (ACOM_LNC044054)". The record is from RNAcentral. Lineage: Eukaryota; Viridiplantae; Streptophyta; Magnoliopsida; Poales; Bromeliaceae.